UGGGGAAUCUUGCACAAUGGAGGAAACUCUGAUGCAGCGACGCCGCGUGAGCGAAGAAGCCUUUCGGGGUGUAAAGCUCUUACGCCAGGGACGAUAAUGACGGUACCUGGAGAAGCAGCUGCGGCUAACUACGUGCCAGCAGCCGCGGUAAUACGUAGGCAGCAAGCGUUGUUCGGAAUUACUGGGCGUAAAGGGUGCGUAGGCGGCGCUCUAAGUUUGGUGUGAAAUCUCCCGGCUUAACUGGGAGGGUGCACUGAAAACUGGGGGGCUCGAGUAUGGGAGAGNAAAGCGGAAUUCCUGGUGUAGCGGUGAAAUGCGUAGAGAUGAGGAGGAACACCGUCGGUGCGGACGGCUUUCUGGACCAUCACUGACGCUGAGGCACGAAAGCGUGGGUAGCAAACA
This 402-nucleotide ribosomal RNA is filed under the name uncultured bacterium. RNAcentral's name for it is "bacterial SSU rRNA". It matches the Rfam family "Bacterial small subunit ribosomal RNA", at positions 355 to 774 of the family's 1533-position model. The record is from RNAcentral.